Molecule: unclassified non-coding RNA, 253 nt
Filed under: uncultured Caryophanales bacterium
Lineage: Bacteria; Bacillati; Bacillota; Bacilli; Caryophanales
Description: uncultured Bacillales bacterium contains 16S-23S intergenic spacer region
Rfam family: Bacterial small subunit ribosomal RNA
Source: RNAcentral
UACGUAGGUGGCAAGCGUUGUCCGGAAUUAUUGGGCGUAAAGCGCGCGCAGGCGGUCUUUUAAGUCUGAUGUGAAAUCUCGCGGCUCAACCGCGAGCGGUCAUUGGAAACUGGGAGACUUGAGUACAGUAGAGGAGAGUGGAAUUCCACGUGUAGCGGUGAAAUGCGUUGAGAUGUGGAGGAACACCAGUGGCGAAGGCGACUCUCUGGUCUGUAACUGACGCUGAGGCUCGAAAGCGUGGGGAGCGAACCGG